UGGGGAAUAUUGCACAAUGGGGGAAACCCUGAUGCAGCGACGCCGCGUGAACGAAGAAGGUAUUCGUAUCGUAAAGUUCUGUCCUAUGGGAAGAUAAUGACAGUACCAUAGAAGAAAGCUCCGGCUAACUACGUGCCAGCAGCCGCGGUAAUACGUAGGGCGCGAGCGUUGUCCGGAAUUAUUGGGCGUAAAGGGCUUGUAGGUGGCUGGUUGCGUCUGUCGUGAAAGCUCAUGGCUUAACUGUGGGUUUGCGGUGGGUACGGGCUGGCUUGAGUGCAGUAGGGGAGGCUGGAAUUCCUGGUGUAGCGGUGGAAUGCGCAGAUAUCAGGAGGAAUACCGGUGGCGAAGGCGGGUCUCUGGGCUGUUACUGACACUGAGGAGCGAAAGCAUGGGGAGCGAACAGG
Molecule: ribosomal RNA, 404 nt
Filed under: bacterium
Lineage: Bacteria
Description: partial 16S ribosomal RNA
Rfam family: Bacterial small subunit ribosomal RNA
Source: RNAcentral